CGGAGGAAAAGAAACUAACAAGGAUUCCCCUAGUAACGGCGAGUGAAGAGGGAAGAGCCCAAGAUUGAAAGCUGGCGCCUUCGGCGUCCGCAUUGUAAUCUCAAGAAGUGUUUUCCGCUUCGGACCAUGCCUAAGUCCCUUGGAAAAGGGCAUCAUAGAGGGUGAUAAUCCCGUACAUGGCAUGGAGCGCCCGAAGCUUUGUGAUACGCUUUCUAAGAGUCGAGUUGUUUGGGAAUGCAGCUCAAAAUGGGUGGUAAAUGCCAUCUAAGGCUAAAUAUUGGGGAGAGACCGAUAGCGAACAAGUACAGUGAUGGAAAGAUGAAAAGAACUUUGAAAAGAGAGUUAAACAGUACGUGAAAUUGCCAAAAGGGAAGGGUAGGAGGUCAGAGAUGCGGCCUGGGAUUCAGCCUUGCUUUUGCUUGGUGUUUUUCCCAGGUUGCAGGCCAACGUCGGUUUUGGGCACUGGAGAAGGGUGGAAGGAACGUGGCACUCUUCGGGGUGUGUUAUAGCCUUCCACUGGAUACAGCGACCGAGACCGAGGAACGCAGCGUACUCGUAAGAGCGGGCCUUUUGGCACCUUUACGCUUAGGGCGUUGGCAUAAUGGCCCUCUACCACCCGU
This 620-nucleotide ribosomal RNA is filed under the name Ustilaginaceae sp. 6.AURO. RNAcentral describes it as "eukaryotic LSU rRNA". It matches the Rfam family "Eukaryotic large subunit ribosomal RNA", at positions 51 to 652 of the family's 3401-position model. The record is from RNAcentral. Lineage: Eukaryota; Fungi; Basidiomycota; Ustilaginomycetes; Ustilaginales; Ustilaginaceae.